UUUUUUUCAGAGGGACCUUUGUUCUCAGAUGAUCCAUUAUUUGUGGUAUCACUGCAGAAUUUGGGACAAAUUUCAACUUAUAUCAUAGAACUCCUUAGCGUACUUUAUUAUUCAAUCCCCUCACUCCUUCCCUUAUGCCUCCAAACACAUUCUUCUUCCUCUCACUACCAGAGUGAUUUCAGAAGAUUCUGUCGCAGGUUCUCGGAAGCCUAUUGUGCAGUAACAAAGAAUUCCAGCAGUGAGCUGUGAGUUCCGUCCUUACUGGCUUUCCCAAGUGGAAGGCUACCCUCAUCUUUCGCUAAUGGCAGACUAGGACAAGCAUUAAGCAGGCCUGCAAGCUUGUUAAGCACUAGGAACCCAAGCAAGAACUCACCAUGCCGAUCAAACCUGUUGGGUGGAUAUGUGGGCAGUCGAGGGGAUCCAGAAGGCAAUCAUGGACCUUGUAGAUGAGUUUAAAGAUGAAUUUCCCACCAUCCUAAGAUUAUCACAGUCUAAUCAGAAAAGAGAACCUGCGCAGAAAACAUCCAAAAUCAGGAUGGCUAUUGCUUUAGCUAAGAUUAAUCGAACAACAUUAAUUCGUGGAUUAAACAGCAUAUCCAGAUCCUCCAAAUCAGUGGCCAAACUUCUGCAUCCUCAGCUUGCAUGCAGACUUUUAGAGCUAAGGGACAUAUCUGGUCGUCUGCUGAGGGAAGUUAAUGUGCCAAGGCAACCCCUAUAUAACAUGCAGGUCAGAAAGGGUUCUUUGUUUGAAAUCAUCUCCUUUCCAGCAAAGACUGCUUUAACUAGCAUAAUAUAUGCUUCAUAUGCAGCACUAAUUUAUUUGGCGGUCUGUGUUAAUGCUGUGCUGGAGAAGAUAAAGAACAUCUUCCAGGAAGAAGAAUCCAUAAGGCAAAACAGAGAGGAGGGUGAAAAUUGUAGAAAAGCCUUUUCUGAGCCUGUGCUUUCAGAGCCUAUGUUUGCUGAAGGGGCAAACUAUACACGGUCGUCCAUCAAAAUCCUGGGGAAGAGAAUAACUAAUUUAAUAUUCCGACAUGUCAAAUGUUCUUGAUACACAAUAGACUCUGAAGAGAAUCUGCUGCAGAAGAACCAGGUUAAAAAACAGUACGUCUAAGGGGUUGGGGUGACAAGAUUCUGCAUGUCUAAAAAGCUCCCAUGUGACACCAAAGUUGCUGGUCUAUGGACAACAGUUUGAGGAGCAAGGUCUUCAAGCUCUCAUUAUGGACUGCAACUAGGGAAAAUUCUAUGAAACUAUUAUCAGCUCAGAAAUAUAAAAACUGGUCACUGAGAUGACAGCUGAGCUGAAAUGCCCAAAAUGCAAAUGAACUAGACAUGCCAACAGCUGGGGGAAGAGAAUUCCAUACUGAAGCAAUAGCAAAUACAAAAGCCUGAAGGAAAGAAAAGGCUUGGUGAAUGUGUUCCAGAAGACUAGAGCAUCAUGUGCAAGAUUGGUAAAUAGGCAGGAGCCAGGUUGUGCAGUGCUGUGUACAGAUUUUACUCUAUUAGGAGCAAAGGAAAGUCACUAAAGAGUAUAAAGCAGGAAAGUGUGACUUGAUAUCUUUUUGAAAGAAUGCCCCGGCUCUGUGGAGAAUGGAUUAUAGCAAAACAACAAUGAAUGCACAGAAAUCAGAAAGCUAGGGGUCCAUGAAAAAGAUGGUGGUUUGCCCCAGGGGGUUGACGCUGUAGGGGAGAAAAGGUAACAGUAACAGUAGCAGCAGUAGCUACAAUUAUAUUGUGUUAACUAUGUGCCAGGCACUAUUCUAAGACUACAUUUAUUUAUUAACUCCUUUAAUCCUCCAUGUUACUAAAGAGGUAUUAUUUUAAUCUUAUAGUACAGAGAAGUUGCGUUGAUGAACUAGAAUGAAGAUGCUACAGAAAAAUAAAUAAAGAUGACCCCCAAGUUUUAGGUUUGUGCAGCUAGGUGAACUGUAGUGCGAAAGACUGUGAUGAGAAAGGCCAAGAAAUCAAUGGUAUUUUUGCAGGAUGGAAAAUCAAGAGCUAUAUACAUUUUUCACAUAUUGAGUUUAAGGUAUCACAGAGACAUCCAAGUAGAGAUAUCAAGUCAGCAACCAGAUAUAAGAGACUAAAGUUGAGAAUUUCUAGAGAGAAAAAUUGGGGAGUUUCCAGGUUAUAGAAUUCUAUGGACUCACUUGGAGAGGAAGUGUACGUAAGGAAGAAGGUCUAAGACAAUUCCUGAAGCACUUCAACAUUUAGGGGUCAGGUGGAAGAGGGGCUGUAGAGACGCAAGACCAGUAGAGUAUCCAAUAUAUUGCUAAUCAAAUGAAAUUCAUUCACAGCUUU
Molecule: RNA transcript, 2298 nt
Organism: Rhinopithecus roxellana (golden snub-nosed monkey)
Lineage: Eukaryota; Metazoa; Chordata; Mammalia; Primates; Cercopithecidae
Gene: SPATA9
Gene name: spermatogenesis associated 9
Exons: 8
Source: RefSeq, a predicted model, not a curated record